RNAcentral lists this ribosomal RNA (475 nucleotides) under uncultured bacterium. RNAcentral's name for it is "bacterial SSU rRNA". It matches the Rfam family "Bacterial small subunit ribosomal RNA", at positions 425 to 918 of the family's 1533-position model. The record is from RNAcentral.
GUAAAGCUCUUUUGGCGGGGACGAUGAUGACGGUACCCGCAGAAUAAGCCCCGGCUAACUUCGUGCCAGCAGCCGCGGUAAGACGAAGGGGGCUAGCGUUGUUCGGAAUUACUGGGCGUAAAGGGCGCGUAGGCGGUUUGUUAAGUCAGGCGUGAAAGCCCUGGGCUCAACCUGGGAUGUGCGCUUGAUACUGGCAGGCUUGAGUGCAGGAGAGGAUGGUGGAAUUCCCAGUGUAGAGGUGAAAUUCGUAGAUAUUGGGAAGAACACCGGUGGCGAAGGCGGCCAUCUGGACUGCAACUGACGCUGAGGCGCGAAAGCGUGGGGAGCAAACAGGAUUAGAUACCCUGGUAGUCCACGCUGUAAACGAUGAGUGCUGGACGUUGGCGGGCUUGCCUGCCGGUGUCGCAGCUAACGCGUUAAGCACUCCGCCUGGGGAGUACGGCCGCAAGGUUAAAACUCAAAUGAAUUGACGGAA